RNAcentral lists this transfer RNA (87 nucleotides) under Candidatus Woesebacteria bacterium. Its description in RNAcentral is "tRNA-Leu". It matches the Rfam family "tRNA". Rfam says of the family: Transfer RNA (tRNA) molecules are approximately 80 nucleotides in length. Their secondary structure includes four short double-helical elements and three loops (D, anti-codon, and T loops). The record is from RNAcentral. Lineage: Bacteria; Candidatus Woeseibacteriota.
GGGGAUAUGGCGGAACAGGUAGACGCAGGAGACUUAAAAUCUCCCGACCAGAUGGUUGUGGGGGUUCGACUCCCUCUAUCCCUACUA